AUUGAACGCUGGCGGCAGGCCUAACACAUGCAAGUCGAACGAGUGGCGGACGGGUGAGUAAUGUAUGGGAAACUGCCCGAUGGAGGGGGAUAACUACUGGAAACGGUAGCUAAUACCGCAUACUAUCGGAUGUGCCCAUAUGGGAUUAGCUAGUAGGUGGGGUAAAGGCUCACCUAGGCGACGAUCCCUAGCUGGUCUGAGAGGAUGACCAGCCACACGUGGACUGAGACACGGCCCAGACUCCUACGGGAGGCAGCAGUGGGGAAUAUUGCACAAUGGGCGCAAGCCUGAUACAGCCAUGCCGCGUGUAUGAAGAAGGCCUUAGGGUUGUAAAGUACUUUCAGCGGGGAGGCGUUACCCGCAGAAGAAGCACCGGCUAACUCCGUGCCAGCAGCCACGGUAAUUC
This 406-nucleotide ribosomal RNA is filed under the name uncultured bacterium. RNAcentral's name for it is "partial 16S ribosomal RNA". It matches the Rfam family "Bacterial small subunit ribosomal RNA", at positions 30 to 526 of the family's 1533-position model. The record is from RNAcentral.